AGUAUGUGAUGAUUGCCAUUGGUCCGUGUUUCUGAGUUCCUCUGAUUUAAGCAAAUGGCAUAGUCUGAUACU
Molecule: small nucleolar RNA, 72 nt
Organism: Saccostrea echinata
Lineage: Eukaryota; Metazoa; Mollusca; Bivalvia; Ostreida; Ostreidae
Product: small nucleolar RNA SNORD18
Exons: 1
Source: RefSeq, a predicted model, not a curated record